This 234-nucleotide long non-coding RNA is filed under the name Solanum lycopersicum (tomato). RNAcentral describes it as "partial TCONS_00123058". Lineage: Eukaryota; Viridiplantae; Streptophyta; Magnoliopsida; Solanales; Solanaceae. The record is from RNAcentral.
CGAUCACCCAAAAAAUGGUGUGUAAUAGCACACGAAAAUUGUUUAAAUGAGGCGUAUGCUCGCUUCGGGGCUCGUUUGACCUUCCAAAUGGCCCAGAAAAGCCGUGAUGGACAACCGUAUGCAUAGACAACGUCUUGACGGAUGUCCACGAACAAAUUUGGCAUUUUUGACGUCGGAAUCCCGAUCACCCAAAAAAUGGUGUGCAAUAGCACACAAAAAUCGUCGAAAUGAGGC